This 468-nucleotide ribosomal RNA is filed under the name uncultured bacterium. RNAcentral describes it as "partial 16S ribosomal RNA". It matches the Rfam family "Bacterial small subunit ribosomal RNA", at positions 28 to 507 of the family's 1533-position model. The record is from RNAcentral.
GACGAACGCUGGCGGCGUGCUUAACACAUGCAAGUCGAACGGAAAGGCCCUGCUUUUGUGGGGUGCUCGAGUGGCGAACGGGUGAGUAACACGUGAGUAACCUGCCCUUGACUUUGGGAUAACUUCAGGAAACUGGGGCUAAUACCGGAUAGGAGCUCCUGCUGCAUGGUGGGGGUUGGAAAGUUUCGGCGGUUGGGGAUGGACUCGCGGCUUAUCAGCUUGUUGGUGGGGUAGUGGCUUACCAAGGCUUUGACGGGUAGCCGGCCUGAGAGGGUGACCGGCCACAUUGGGACUGAGAUACGGCCCAGACUACUACGGGAGGCAGCAGUGGGGAAUAUUGCACAAUGGGCGGAAGCCUGAUGCAGCAACGACGCGUGCGGGAUGACGGCCUUCGGGUUGUAAACCGCUUUCGCCUGUGACGAAGCGUGAGUGACGGUAAUGGGUAAAGAAGCACCGGCUAACUACGUG